GAUGAAGAACGUAGCAAAAUGCGAUACUUGGUGUGAAUUGCAGAAUCCCGUGAACCAUCGAGUUUUUGAACGCAAGUUGCGCCCGAAGCCUUUUGGCCGAGGGCACGUCUGCCUGGGCGUCACGCAUCGCGUCGCCCCCCACAAUUCUCCGUAAAGGGAACAUGUGUUUUGGGGGCGGAUAUUGGUCUCCCGUGCUCAUGGCGUGGUUGGCCGAAAUAGGAGUCCUUUCGAUGGACGCACGAACUAGUGGAGGUCGUAAAAACCCUCGUCUUUUGUUUCGUGCUGUUGCUCGCAAGGUAAACUCUUUAAAAACCCCAAUGUGUCGUCUCUUGACGACGCUUCGACCGCGACCCCAGGUCAGGCGGGACUACCCGCUGAGUUUAAGCAUAUCAAUAAGCGGAGGA
RNAcentral lists this unclassified non-coding RNA (404 nucleotides) under soil metagenome. Its description in RNAcentral is "partial contains 5.8S ribosomal RNA, internal transcribed spacer 2, and large subunit ribosomal RNA". The stretch from base 1 to 122 matches the Rfam family "5.8S ribosomal RNA", at positions 35 to 154 of the family's 154-position model. The record is from RNAcentral.